UACAGAGGGUGCAAGCGUUAAUCGGAAUUACUGGGCGUAAAGCGCGCGUAGGCGGCUGUCUAAGUCGGGUGUGAAAGCCCCGGGCUCAACCUGGGAACUGCAUUCGAUACUGGACGGCUAGAGUAUGAGAGAGGGAGGUAGAAUUCCACGUGUAGCGGUGAAAUGCGUAGAUAUGUGGAGGAAUACCGGUGGCGAAGGCGGCCUCCUGGUUCAAUACUGACGCUGAGGCGCGAAAGCUAGGGGAGCAAACGGG
Molecule: ribosomal RNA, 253 nt
Filed under: uncultured bacterium
Lineage: Bacteria
Description: partial 16S ribosomal RNA
Rfam family: Bacterial small subunit ribosomal RNA
Source: RNAcentral